UUGCAUUGGCCCCGGGGAGAGAUCCAGGACUUACUCGGUGUGAGGAACAAACCUAGAUUCUCAGCAGGGGAAAGAGAUUUCAAACCGCGGCAGCCAGGGGCCUUGACCAGGCAACAUCGUGCACGAGCCAAGGGGAAGACUCUGUGCACAUCCUAGAAGUGCCCAGCUGCCUUCUUAUUGUAACCCCAGUGACCAUAUCUGGGUUUACAUGCCUGUUUCUAGACCAGUCACAGGCAAACCAGAAUGGAAUGCUCUACAGGCUGCCUUGGGAAAAGUGUGAUGUGCUCUUCACGGGAACAGCAGUGAGUCUAUCGUGUCCAUUAAGAGAAGGGGCUCUGAAGCCUGAUGACCACAGUUCAAAUCCUGGCUCUAUCAUUCCUGAGUUAUAUAACCCUUGCCAAGGAGCUUAACUUUUUGUUCCUCAGUUUUGCCAUCUGUAGAAUGGUGAUAAUGAUACUUCCCAGGUUGACAUAACGAUUAAAUGUUUAAUGUACAAAAGGUGCUUAACACAGUACUUGGCUCGCAGCAAAGGUUAACUACUGAUCAUCUAUUGUAUAUUUCAAAGUAGCUAGAAGAUAGCAAUUCAAAUGUUUCUAGCAUGAAGAAAAGACAACAAUUUAAGGCAAUGUAAAUCCUGAAGAUAAUGAUUUGAUCUUUACAAGUUAUUCAAAUGUGUUAAAUGAUCACAUGUAUCCCCAAUGUAUGUACAACUAUUAUGUAUUAAUAAAAAAAUUUAACAAAAUUAAAAAAACAAUCCUCAAGACUGAGCAAUUCCUUGUCUGAAUAAAAUCAGGAAAAGGUCCUAGAUGUUGGGUGGGCAACUCCAGUGUCCGCCACACAUGGUCACCCUCCAGUUCACAGACAAGUAAACAAGCAAU
This 878-nucleotide long non-coding RNA is filed under the name Callithrix jacchus (white-tufted-ear marmoset). RNAcentral describes it as "lncRNA (ENSCJAG00000066177.2)". Lineage: Eukaryota; Metazoa; Chordata; Mammalia; Primates; Cebidae. The record is from RNAcentral.